This 76-nucleotide transfer RNA is filed under the name Gammaproteobacteria bacterium. RNAcentral describes it as "tRNA-Thr". It matches the Rfam family "tRNA". Rfam says of the family: Transfer RNA (tRNA) molecules are approximately 80 nucleotides in length. The record is from RNAcentral. Lineage: Bacteria; Pseudomonadati; Pseudomonadota; Gammaproteobacteria. RNAcentral also lists the same sequence under 2 other names.
GCCGGUGUAGCUCAGUUGGUAGAGCAGCGCAUUCGUAAUGCGAAGGUCGGGAGUUCGACUCUCUCCACCGGCACCA